GUCUAAGUAUCAUUAAGUGAAUACAUAGCUUAAUGAGGGGAACGCAGGGAACUGAAACAUCUAAGUACCUGAAGGAAGAGAAAGAAAUUCGAUUCCGUAAGUAGCGGCGAGCGAACGCGGAUUAGCCCAAACCAAUAAAGUUUUCUUUAUUGGGGUUGCGGACAUAUCAUAACGAAGAGGUAUCGUAAUUGAAGAGGUUUGGAAAGACCCACCACAGAAGGUAAUAGUCCUGUAUGUUAAACGAGAAGACUUUAGGUAUGAUCCAGAGUACCACGGGACACGUGAAACCCUGUGGGAAGCAGGAGGGACCACCCUCCAAGGCUAAAUACUACCUAGUGACCGAUAGCGUAUAGUACCGUGAGGGAAAGGUGAAAAGAACCCCGGGAGGGGAGUGAAAUAGAACCUGAAACCCUGCACUUACAAGCUGUGGAAGCACAUUUCUUGUGUGACCGCGUACUUUUUGUAGAACGGGCCAACGAGUUACGUUAAGUAGCAAGGUUAAGCACUUAAGGUGCGGAGCCGUAGCGAAAGCGAGUUUUAACUGAGCGUUCAGUUACUUGACGUAGACCCGAAACCGGGCGACCUACCCAUGAGCAGGAUGAAGCGAAAGUAAAAUUUCGUG
RNAcentral lists this ribosomal RNA (622 nucleotides) under Clostridioides difficile. RNAcentral describes it as "bacterial LSU rRNA". It matches the Rfam family "Bacterial large subunit ribosomal RNA", at positions 142 to 768 of the family's 2925-position model. The record is from RNAcentral. Lineage: Bacteria; Bacillati; Bacillota; Clostridia; Peptostreptococcales; Peptostreptococcaceae.